Molecule: ribosomal RNA, 200 nt
Filed under: uncultured bacterium
Lineage: Bacteria
Description: partial 16S ribosomal RNA
Rfam family: Bacterial small subunit ribosomal RNA
Source: RNAcentral
AGAGUUUGAUCCUGGCUCAGGAUGAACGCUGGCGGCGUGCCUAAUACAUGCAAGUCGAACGCUGAUUAUCGAAAGCUUGCUUUUGAUAUGAUGAGUGGCGAACGGGUGAGUAACACGUGGGAAACCUACCUCUUAGCAGGGGAUAACAUUUGGAAACAGAUGCUAAUACCGUAUAACAGUUAAAACCGCAUGGUUUUAAU